This 493-nucleotide ribosomal RNA is filed under the name uncultured bacterium. Its description in RNAcentral is "partial 16S ribosomal RNA". It matches the Rfam family "Bacterial small subunit ribosomal RNA", at positions 355 to 839 of the family's 1533-position model. The record is from RNAcentral.
UAGGGAAUCUUCCACAAUGGACGCAAGUCUGAUGGAGCAACGCCGCGUGAGUGAAGAAGGUUUUCGGAUCGUAAAGCUCUGUUGUUGGUGAAGAAGGAUAGAGGCAGUAACUGGUCUUUAUUUGACGGUAAUCAACCAGAAAGUCACGGCUAACUACGUGCCAGCAGCCGCGGUAAUACGUAGGUGGCAAGCGUUGUCCGGAUUUAUUGGGCGUAAAGCGAGCGCAGGCGGAAUGAUAAGUCUGAUGUGAAAGCCCACGGCUCAACCGUGGAACUGCAUCGGAAACUGUCAUUCUUGAGUGCAGAAGAGGAGAGUGGAACUCCAUGUGUAGCGGUGGAAUGCGUAGAUAUAUGGAAGAACACCAGUGGCGAAGGCGGCUCUCUGGUCUGCAACUGACGCUGAGGCUCGAAAGCAUGGGUAGCGAACAGGAUUAGAUACCCUGGUAGUCCAUGCCGUAAACGAUGAGCGCUAGGUGUUGGGGACUUUCCGGUUG